AUGUCCUACGGGAGGCAGCAGUGAGGAAUAUUGGUCAAUGGGCUUACGCCUGAACCAGCCAAGUCGCGUGAGUGAAGACUGCCCUAUGGGUUGUAAACCUCUUUUGUCAGGGAGCAACGCCGGCUACGUGUAGCCGGACUGAGAGUACCUGAAGAAAAAGCAUCGGCUAACUCCGUGCCAGCAGCCGCGGUAAUAAGGAGGAUGCGAGCGUUAUCCGGAUUUAUUGGGUUUAAAGGGUGCGUAGGCGGAAUGCCAAGUCAGCGGUAAGAUCGCGGGGCGCA
Molecule: ribosomal RNA, 281 nt
Filed under: uncultured bacterium
Lineage: Bacteria
Description: partial 16S ribosomal RNA
Rfam family: Bacterial small subunit ribosomal RNA
Source: RNAcentral